UGAGGUUUGUGACAUGACAAGUGGGGCCAGAAAGUAAAUCUGUUGUUUUGCAGGAUUCAGCUUUUUAAUUAUCUCGCGGGGAAUCGGCUUAGUCGAAAAAAGUUCUAGGUAGAAUAAUGAUUAUGACAAUUUUCUAUCUAAAUGUCUUGACCAAGUCUCGUGCCAGCAGUCGCGGUAAUACGUGGAAGACUAGUGUUAUUCAUCUUUAAUAGGUUUAAAGCGUACCUAGACGGUAUUUCUAGCCCCCAAGGGUACGGAUUUACUAGAGUUUUAUGUGAGAGGCAAAUAUUAGUACUCUUGGUGUAGAGAUGAAAUUCUUUGAUACUAUUAGGACUGGUGGCGGCGAAAGCAACCCUCUAUGUAUAAACUGACGUUGAGGGACGAAGGCUUGGGUAGCGAACAGGAUUAGAUACCCUAGUAGUCCAGGCAGAAAAUUAUGAGUGCCAUAGAUUAGAUUAGAUUAAUGUUUCAGAAGAAGAAAAAGAAACAUAAAAGAAAGAAAAAGAGCAAAAGCAAAAAUAAAAGUAAAGAAAGAAACAGAUAAAAGUAUAAGCUUUUGCAAGCAAACGCGCUAAAAAUCGCCAAAUCUGGUCUAUAAAUGAAAGUGUAAGCAUUCCACCUCAAGAGUAAUGUGGCAACGCAGGAACUGAAAUCAUUAGACCGUUUCUGAAACCAGUAGUGAAGUAUGUUAUUUAAUUCGAUAACCCUCGAAAAACCUUACCACAAUUUGAAUGUAAUAUAUGUAGUAGUUUAAUGAUUGGCUAGAUAACAACUACAUGUAUUAACACAAGCGUUGCACGGCUGUCUUCAGUUAAUGUCGUGAGAACUUGGUUAGAUCCAUUAAAUUAACGUAAUCCCUUUCAUUAGUUCUCUGCACUAAUGAA
Molecule: ribosomal RNA, 884 nt
Filed under: Lichenotheliaceae sp. Ertz 16340
Lineage: Eukaryota; Fungi; Ascomycota; Dothideomycetes; Lichenotheliales; Lichenotheliaceae
Description: mitochondrial SSU rRNA
Rfam family: Bacterial small subunit ribosomal RNA
Source: RNAcentral